GUGUGUGUGUGUGUGUGUGUGUGUGUGUGUGUGCGUGUGCGUACGAGUGUGUCCUGGCCUGGUAACCUGCUUUCAUGUUUUCAAUCAAGGAUCAUUUUGUGUCUCACUGUUGCCUCUGUGAUGCCAUUUAAAGGGACAUGCCACAUUCAUUUUGUUAUCGUUUCAAUCAACAACUCUUGGGGAAUUCUAAAAUAUUCUGUCUCUAGAGGUUUGCUUGCAGUUUGAUGGUGCUGUUGCUGCAGAGUGUGUUAGUGGUUUGCUGUUACACUGGCUGAAGUGAAUUUGGACCAGUUCUGAUUGUAGUCCUAACCAUGAGCACUUACAGGGAGAACAGGCAAAGAAUAUUCCAGGCGAAUCAGUGACAGAAGAACAGUUUACCGAUGAAGACGGUAACAUCAUCACUAGAAAAGUCAUCAGAAAAGUCAUCAGGCGGGUGUCCAUGCCUGACGACCAGGGCGGGGACAGGGGGAGGUGGGACCGAGGAGACCUCUGGCCUUGCCCUUUCUCACUGGAGGAGGAGCUAGAGCAAGGAGAUGGAGCUAAAAGCAGGAGGAAGGAGGAGAGGUUGGGAGAAAAGAAGCUUCACUCGUAGGGCUAGCUGUGCUCCACCAGGUGUGCAGGAAUUAGUCUCCACGGCAGAAAGUUACACACAACUAGAAACUAAAGGAAAAUAGGACAUUUCAGCCCAAUACUUCCAACGUGUGGUUUUCAAGCGUGAAGAACUUGACCCGUCUGAUUUUAGCAUGAGCAUGAAAAACACUCUCUGUCAAUUGAGGGAUCUGGGAGGUUCUCACCAUGGAAUCUGAAUUCUAAUUGUACAGCUCUCACUUCCUGUGGUCUAUGGACCAGAAGAAUUAUGCUUCCUGUUUGUGACUCGUAACGUGCCAUUGGUGUCAUGAGAGCUUUUGAGGAGCAUUGUGGUGACACUGAAAAAGGACUCCAUUACAGAAAAACUACAAGUGGUCAUGAGAAAAAAAAAACAUUGGUGUCGUGAGAGCUUUUGAGGAUCAUUGUGGUGAGACCGAAAAAGGACUCCAUUACAGAAAAACCACAGGUGCAACUGAACAUACACUGCCCUGUGACCAAAGAUGGCACAAAAGCUAAAUUCUAAUAGUAGGAGAAAGAAACUCAACAAAAUUACACAAAAAGAAGAGGAUCACUUCUGAUCCACCUCCAACACUCGCCUUAUAUUUUCUUUCUUGGACCCAUAAAUGUCAGGUUGUAAAUUGCUGGGGUUUUUGUUUUCCUUUAUAAACCUGAAAAUAACAAGACUUUUUUCUGUAUAGAAAUUACAAUCUGUACAAUUCUAAAAUGAUGAGUUACAAGAUGAUAAUGCAGAGGAGAGAACUUUACAAGUGCUUUCAACAUGAUUAUCAAAAUGGUUCAAGAUUUGAGUGAACUUCACAUGUUGUUGUAUAAUUAAUUAUUAUAGCAGGUAUAACAUUUGUAUAUGAAAAAAGCUGGUUUGAUUUUAACAGAGGAAAUUUCCAGAAAAUCUUCUGCAAAUUUCAGUGAUUCCCAAAAUGGGGAUGUAUCUAAUUCUGCAAAAGCAGUCUUUCAGAGUACUCAUAUUUUCAUGCAUGCCUUUCACAUUAUUUUAAGUAAAAUUUGUACAAGUUUGAAAACACUGUAUUAAAAAUUAGAAUUAAAACCCUUUAUCUGUGUACAACUAUAGCCUUAACAUUUGUCACCAGUUUUAUAUUUGAAAUUAGAAAAGAAAAAAAAAAAACAUAAGUGUUUUUUUUUGUCUCGGACGAGGAACAGUAUGAAGAAAGUUUGUUCUAUAGCUUCUUGAGGAUUACUGCUUCUCUAUGUACAACUGAAGGGCGGCUUCUGCAGGGUUUAUCAUAAAUGCUAUGAGAAAGGAGUAAUCUGAAUGUAUAUGCUAGAAGACUGUCUCGCUGUAAAAUUAUAAAUGUAUUGUGUGUAUUGGCUAUAAGGUGUAGAGGUCGCUGUAAGACUGUAAGACUGUUUGUAAUCAUUUUAGCAGUGUGUCAAUUGGUUUUAUAAAGGCUGCUGUGGUUUUAAAGAUGGGGUUUUGGGGUUUUUGGGAAGUAUUUCCUUAAGUUUAAUCUACUCACAUAAAGACACACAAGGCAUUAUUUGAUUGUAACUCUUGAUAGCAUAUGUAUGACAAAAACACUGGAUGGUCAAAACGAUUAUUUAAGCAUAAAAUAAAUUGUGUUGAACUCUGAAAUUGUGUGAUCUUUUUAGGCUUGAGAAUCUAUAUGCAGUGUCUAACUAGCAUUGUUUUGAUAGCUCAUUGGCGAUUACUUUGCAUUAGAUCUUCUCUUUGUAUUGGUUAGACUAGAGGCCCAUGUAGUUCAAGUGUGGUGUUAUUCUGGUGUGAAGGCUCAGACUUAGUGUGAUGAUGUUUAUGCUGUGGACAUGACAACCAUGUAAAGGACUUCAUUUCUUUUGACAAGUGAAGCAAUUUAGGGUAUUGUAUCAUAUAUCCUAUCUUACAUGUCAAUCAGGGGGUAGAGGGUAAUUUGAUAUGGUUGAACUAUCAAUUUUGUCAAUUUUGUUUGAUAUGUGUUUUCAACUGAGCAAAUUUUUUCGAUGUACAAUUCUUACUAACAGAGUGAAGCCAUUGAAAUGUAACUAUUCUAGCACUUUGGUUAUUCAAAGUCUUCUUUUAGAGGCUAUAGAAGCAAUGACGCCACCACAAUGUUUCAAGCGUCUUAAAAAAAAUGUAAUUUAAAAACAAAAUAAAUAAAAAAGCAUUGGUUUUGAAA
Oncorhynchus tshawytscha (Chinook salmon) is the source of this 2738-nucleotide long non-coding RNA. NCBI's taxonomy places the organism in Eukaryota, Metazoa, Chordata, Actinopteri, Salmoniformes, Salmonidae. The record is from Ensembl.